AUAAAUAAAUAAAUAAAUAAAUAAAUAAAUAAAUCUUUAAAAAAAAAAAAGAUGAUCAGCAGCGAUACUGUUGAUUCAGGGAGAUGACCUGGGAACCAGCCAUUCUGAAAGGAAGUGAAAAGUUCUGGGGUAGCCUGCUGCAGGAGGGGUUGUCUGACUGGAGGUGUCCUCUUCUUUAUUGAAGAUGUGUGCCCUGCCCAGGAAGCUGGGGAAGGCAGUAGCCACCAGAGGCAAAGAGAUAAAGGGGGAGGGGGCAGUUCCUGGGCAGCAGCUGGAUGAAACUACUCAGAAGUACCAGGGAAACCAAAGUCAGUCCUGGGAAAGGAAGAGAAGACAAAGGCAGACAGAGGACAGCUGACACUUGCAAAGACAAAGGGGCAGGAUAAUCUUGAGGUGCUGAUGGGUGUGUGCAGGAGGCCUCAGGGAGGUGAGUGUGCUGCAGGUAGACCCAUUCACCAUUUUUCCAGAUCUUCCACGAGGCACCAUCUGCUCAUACGCACUUAGCAUCCUGCUUUCCAGCACCUAUCUGCUGAGCUGAAUUCCCACCUCUGAGAGUGACAUCACACUAACCCAGGGUCUUUAACAACAGUAGCUGAUGUUGGUCCUAUGUAAAACCGAUUAUUUAUCUCAAGUAUCUAUUCCAAGAAUAAUGUUUGAAACAUACGACGAGACUAGGGCUGGGAAGAUGGUAAAGUGGAUAAGAACUCGUGCUGCUCUCAGAGAGGACCCAAGUCUGAAUCCCGGCACCCAGGUCAGGGUUCAUAACCCCUUGUAACUCCAGCUCCAGUGGGAUUCAAUGUCUCUGGCACAUGUGCUCACACACGUGCACCCCCAAACAGUUAAUUAAAAAUGAAAAUAUUAAACACGAAAAGAACCUGGCACUGGUUAGGUAGUGCAGUUUAAGGUUGAGAACUAAAAAUAAAACAACAGAAAUAUUAAUUAGAAGAGACUUUUAGCACCCAAAUGCCACAGCAAGACUGCCAACUCCUGUUUUAUUUUUCCCUGCUUUUGAGAAACUUGAAAUCUCUGGCGCUCCCUUCCUGCAAUGUCCUCUCUGUGCCUGUGACAUUGAGACUUGGAUGACAAGUUUACCUGUUGGACUCAACGCUGCUUGGAUUUAAGGCUGACUCAGAGUCUCCCAGGAGAAGGGAUGGGCCGGAUAAGGGUAACUGUUUCAGUGAAGAAUGUUCACCUCGUCCAGCUCUGCAUCCUAAAGUGUAGCACCCAGUGGGUACUCUCUGCACAUUCUGUGAAUGAAGGAGACCCUAUAAUCCCUCGGCUCCCUCCCAUGGCCUGAUGACCAUUACUGACCUACUAGCCUACUUUUGCACCCGUGGAUUUGUGUACAGUGGAGUAUACUGACCAACGAAAGGAUCCGAUUGUUCAUUCAUGCACACGGCGACACUUUGGAUCACGAGACAUGUUGAAAGACUCCAGAUACAAAAGCCUGCGUGCAUGAGAUUCUACUUCUAGAAAACUCUUAGAAAAAUGCAUCACUUAUCAAAAGGGCCCAAGGGGAAGGAUGGUGCGAGGGACCAUUAGAGGGAUGCGCUGUUCUAAAACGUGAUUGAGCUGGUGGCAGCCUCGUGACACAUACGUUUACAGAAAUGCGUUAAACUGUCUACUGAAAAAGAGAUUUCAAUAUCAUAUAUCAAUAAGACUAUAAAAAGUCAGACGUGUGUAUGGCCCUAA
Molecule: small RNA, 1692 nt
Filed under: Rattus norvegicus (Norway rat)
Lineage: Eukaryota; Metazoa; Chordata; Mammalia; Rodentia; Muridae
Description: uncharacterized LOC102551612
Source: RNAcentral